GUCCUGGUCGAUUAGUGGUUAAAUCAUCUCGUUGUGGUAAUCACGGGCAGCUCGUUGAACUACUCCGAGAAGCCGAGGGCUCGACUCCCUCCCGGGACA
Molecule: non-coding RNA, 99 nt
Organism: Paramarasmius palmivorus
Lineage: Eukaryota; Fungi; Basidiomycota; Agaricomycetes; Agaricales; Marasmiaceae
Source: the annotation of a GenBank genome assembly